RNAcentral lists this ribosomal RNA (501 nucleotides) under uncultured bacterium. RNAcentral's name for it is "partial 16S ribosomal RNA". It matches the Rfam family "Bacterial small subunit ribosomal RNA", at positions 30 to 523 of the family's 1533-position model. The record is from RNAcentral.
AUUGAACGCUGGCGGCAGGCUUAACACAUGCAAGUCGAGCGGAGAGAGGUAGCUUGCUACUGAUCUUAGCGGCGGACGGGUGAGUAAUGCUUAGGAAUCUGCCUAUUGGUGGGGGACAACAUUUCGAAAGGAAUGCUAAUACCGCAUACGUCCUACGGGAGAAAGCAGGGGAUCUUCGGACCUUGCGCUAAUAGAUGAGCCCAAGUCGGAUGAGCUAGUUGGGGGGGUAAAGGCCUACCAAGGCGACGACCUGUAGCGGGUCUGAGAGGAUGAUCCGCCACACUGGGACUGAGACACGGCCCAGACUCCUACGGGAGGCAGCAGUGGGGAAUAUUGGACAAUGGGCGGAAGCCUGAUCCAGCCAUGCCGCGUGUGUGAAGAAGGCCUUAUGGUUGUAAAGCACUUUAAGCGAGGAGGAGGCUACUUUAGUUAAUACCUAGAGAUAGUGGACGUUACUCGCAGAAUAAGCACCGGCUAACUCUGUGCCAGCCGCCGCGGUAA